This 634-nucleotide ribosomal RNA is filed under the name uncultured Marinobacter sp. RNAcentral's name for it is "bacterial SSU rRNA". It matches the Rfam family "Bacterial small subunit ribosomal RNA", at positions 870 to 1504 of the family's 1533-position model. The record is from RNAcentral. Lineage: Bacteria; Pseudomonadati; Pseudomonadota; Gammaproteobacteria; Pseudomonadales; Marinobacteraceae.
CGCCUGGGGAGUACGGCCGCAAGGUUAAAACUCAAAUGAAUUGACGGGGGCCCGCACAAGCGGUGGAGCAUGUGGUUUAAUUCGACGCAACGCGAAGAACCUUACCUGGCCUUGACAUGCAGAGAACUUUCCAGAGAUGGAUUGGUGCCUUCGGGAACUCUGACACAGGUGCUGCAUGGCCGUCGUCAGCUCGUGUCGUGAGAUGUUGGGUUAAGUCCCGUAACGAGCGCAACCCCUAUCCCUAGUUGCUAGCAGUUCGGCUGAGAACUCUAGGGAGACUGCCGGUGACAAACCGGAGGAAGGCGGGGAUGACGUCAGGUCAUCAUGGCCCUUAUGGCCAGGGCUACACACGUGCUACAAUGGCGCGCACAGAGGGCUGCAAACCCGCGAGGGGGAGCCAAUCUCACAAAACGCGUCGUAGUCCGGAUCGCAGUCUGCAACUCGACUGCAUGAAGUCGGAAUCGCUAGUAAUCGUGAAUCAGAAUGUCACGGUGAAUACGUUCCCGGGCCUUGUACACACCGCCCGUCACACCAUGGGAGUGGAUUGCACCAGAAGUGGUUAGUCUAACCUUCGGGAGGACGAUCACCACGGUGUGGUUCAUGACUGGGGUGAAGUCGUAACAAGGUAACCGUA